RNAcentral lists this ribosomal RNA (494 nucleotides) under uncultured bacterium. RNAcentral describes it as "bacterial SSU rRNA". It matches the Rfam family "Bacterial small subunit ribosomal RNA", at positions 8 to 521 of the family's 1533-position model. The record is from RNAcentral.
AGAGUUUGAUCCUGGCUCAGAGUGAACGCUGGCGGCGUGCCUAACACAUGCAAGUCGAACGAUGAUAGGAAGCUUGCUUCCUUGAUUAGUGGCGCACGGGUGAGUAUACCAUAGAUAAUGUACCUCUUAGUUCGGGAUAGCCACUGGAAACGGUGAUUAAUACCGGAUACUCCUUCUCGUUAUAAGGCGAGUCGGGAAAGUUUUUUCGCUAAGAGAUCAGUCUAUGUCCUAUCAGCUAGUUGGUGAGGUAAUGGCUCACCAAGGCUAUGACGGGUAUCUGGUUUGAGAGGAUGAUCAGACACACUGGAACUGAGACACGGUCCAGACUCCUACGGGAGGCAGCAGUGGGGAAUAUUGCACAAUGGAGGAAACUCUGAUGCAGCAACGCCGCGUGGAGGAUGACGCAUUUCGGUGUGUAAACUCCUUUUAAGAGGGAAGAUAAUGACGGUACCUCUUGAAUAAGCACCGGCUAACUCCGUGCCAGCAGCCGCGGU